RNAcentral lists this unclassified non-coding RNA (193 nucleotides) under uncultured Ascomycota. RNAcentral's name for it is "sequence contains ITS1". Lineage: Eukaryota; Fungi; Ascomycota. The record is from RNAcentral.
CCGUGCCGUGGCGGCCGGCUCCUUUCCGGGGCCGGGCGCUCACCUGGCCACCCGUGUCUACUUACCUGUUGCUUCGGCGGGCCUGCGGGCUUGCCUGCUGCCGGGGAACCUCGUUCCCGGGCGCGUGCCCGCCGAAGACCUGAACAAAACUCUGGUAAAAGAUUGACGUCUGAGUCUGUUAAACAAUCAGUUA